Molecule: ribosomal RNA, 253 nt
Filed under: uncultured bacterium
Lineage: Bacteria
Description: partial 16S ribosomal RNA
Rfam family: Bacterial small subunit ribosomal RNA
Source: RNAcentral
CACGAAAAGAGCAAGCGUUGUUCGGAUUCAUUAGGCGUAAAGAGCUCGUAGGUGGCUCUGUAAGUCGGAGGUGAAAGCCCACGGCUCAACCGUAGAAACGCCUUCGAAACUGUGGAGCUUGAGGCUGGGAGAGAAAAUCGGAAUUCCUGGUGUAGCGGUGAAAUGCGUAGAUAUCAGGAGGAACACCAGUGGCGAAGGCGGAUUUCUGGACCAGUUCUAACACUGAGGAGCGAAAGCCAGGGGAGCAAACAGG